UAAAUAAAAUCUUUAAAAAAUAAAAAAAAUAAUAAAUUUUUAAAAGUAUACUUGCAUGUAGUUUGAUGAGUUAAAUAGUUCUGUAAGACUUGUUAUGAAAAACAAUGAUCCCCCAAAAAAACCCAAAAAAACAAUGAUCUCUUGCCACUCAGACCCCGUUUCCAACUCCUCAGAGGCAACCACUUUCCACUUUUCCAGCUAAUUCUUUGUCUAUGGACUUCUCACUAUGGAAGAUGAGGGUUUAGCUCAUUUUCCCCUCCCUGUCCCCACUGCACAACACACGUCCCAUCCCCGCUUACUCCUAAUUUAGUUAUGUCGUAAUUUUCUUUAGAUCGACAUUCACUGUUAAUGUUUUUGUCUUUGUAAACUCUAUUCACGGCCUCCGUAGUAUACUACGAUCACUGUUUCCUGUACAACACACUGUUUUUGCUGGAGUUAAUAAUCACUUUACUUUUCUCAUUUGCUGAGUAUUCCAUGUACCUGUUAAUAAUUCAACCCUGACCACCCCCGUUUGUGUACAGGUCUCUAGUCAAUGUGCUCAUUACACCAGCUGCUCUCAAGGUUGCGUCGUGCUGGACGGACCCGUCCCUUGGUCGGCCUUCUGACCCACUCCCAUCUGGACUAGUUCCCUUCCAGGCCUUGGCCACAGCUGCCGCCUUGGGCUCUUCCCUCAUCAACUGCUAGACAGUCCCUUUGCUCCUCAUUUUAUUGGCUUCCGGCUGAGUCCCAGUCCUUCUUCUUUCUCAGUUUACAAUCUUGUUUCGGCAGAGCACACCCUGAGUGGCUUCCUGAGACAGUGGCUAGGUGCGCAGAAGGCAAAUUUUUGAGAUCUUUCCUGAAAAUGUUUCAUGUUCCCACUUAAUUGCUGCGGGUCAGACAUCGCUGUCCUCAGAAUUUGGAAGGUCCGGUUCCAUCGUACUCUAACUUCCAGGGUCACUGCUGAGAAAGCUGAUGCCAUUCUGAUUCGGGAGCCCUUCUCACGCAACCUUGAUGUCACUGAUUUUUAAAAAAAUUGUUUUCAUCCUCGAAACUCGUCUUCUCGUUGUCCCCAGUGAGCGGCCCUAGCAGCUCCAAGGAUGAGCAGGGGCAGUUCCCAGGGGUCCGGGACCUGGGCACAGCUGGGCCGGGGGCCGCCCGCCCGCCGCCCGCAGCAACACGGAGCCAGCACCCCGGGCACGCACCCCACGAGGGCUGUGCUUCCAGGUGACUCAGCGGCGGCCGCCCUCGAGCGCCCCGACUGCGGCCUGGAGACCUCUGCCCGCAGCACGAGGGCCCUCCCGGCCUAGGCCCCUGGCGGCGGCCUCCCCGAACGAGGGCGACCUACCCGAAGCCACAUACAGUCUGGGAGGUGACAGCCCUUCACCUUGCCAGGCCCUGUGGUGACAAGGGUUCCGAGGCCCGGCUGCCUCAGGGCGAGGGCAUUGCCGGACAGACGCCAAGGGGCAGGGGCUCGGCGGCCCGCACCCAGAGCCGCCUCCCAGGCCGGGCAGCUGGUGACCAGCUGAGCUGGGCCCUGGGUGAGGCGAGGGCGGCGGCCGCAGGAGCUCCGCAGGGGACAGGCUGCCCCCGCCCCGCGACGCCAGGCAGGAAGGGCUUCCGGGAGCAGCAGCUGUGGACGGACACCCCACAGAGGAGUGGGCCGUAGCCCAGGUGCACCCGGAGGGGAGAGCAUCCCGGGCCGCGGGAAGAUGCCGAACGCCAGGUGUGGGAAGCAUCGCAGUGGGUUCUGGAAGCUACCCAGCAGAGCCCGAGCAGGGAUUUAGCACAGAGUAAAUGCUCCAUGAAUGUUUACUGUUCACUGAAUCAUCUGAAUGAAUGAAAGCGUUGUAGGCCUCAUGAUAGACACUUGCAGAGCUGAGCAGAGCGGGGAACCAAGGGGAUCAUUUCAGGAGGAGAAGAGAGCAGAGAAGUCAAGAAGUCGCAUGUGGGACAGUUUGAGAAAGGGAAGGGGAUGUGCUUCUUUGGCCAAAGAUCACACUGUCAACACCCUUCAAACCCAGAAGAGAUGUGACUAGGACAACGGACCAAUAACCAGAGGGUUUAGAGGCAGAGAUCCUGGCCUUAGCCCUGACUCUGAAGAGAAACCAGGCCGAGAGGGCCUGACAGGGAGCCCCUGAGCCCAUAGAGGCAAACACCCUGUUUUAAAGAGGCAUGCCAAAGAGAUUGUGUAUGCUUCAGACCAGCAGUUUAUCUCCUAUAAUUUGGCCUAAGCAAAUAAUGACAAGUGAGAGCAAAGGUGAGUCCAAGGAUUUUCAUUACAGCAUUGUUGAUAAGGCCAAAAGCCGCAAAAAGCCUGCACAGCCGCAGGGGGAUGGUUCCUAAGGCCUGAGUCACAUGAUGAAAUGGUAUGUAGUCCUUAAACGGCAUGUGGAGACCUGCGUACUUACAGAUUUGAAAAGGUGCUCGAGAUACAUAUUGCACGAAAAGCCACAUUUCCAAGCAGUGUGUUUGAUGACAUUUCAUUUUGACUGUUUUAUAUCUAAGUAUGAGACAAAAAAUAUAUUGGUUAGCUCUGGUUGGUGGGCCUACAGAUGAUUUGUGUGUGUCUCUCUCUCUCUCUCUCUCUCUUUUUUUUUUUUUUUUUUGCUUAUUUUUGAAAAAUUUCCUGCAAUAAAUAUAGCUGGUGCAGAUAAUAAACAUGAAAAGAAAAUCAGAAUAAAUAAGAUCUACACUGUCCUCUAGGGAUGGAGGUUAGUAGUGUGAUCCGACAGGUGUAAAUUGACUAAAGGGAAAAGCACUUGGGAUUCCCAGGGAGCAAUAUUCCUAGGGGAGAAACCUCGGGCCCCAGGGAUCCUCAGGGGGAACAGGGAACCCUCCUCAAACAGAGCAGGUGUUGAAACCCAGUCAACUAGCGCUAAUCAGCUCCAUUACCCUCAGCUCAAGGCAUAGCCUGCCAGGUGUGGGGAUAAUGGGAUUAAAAAAGCAAGAUUGGUUCUAGGGCCACAGGUGGUGUCCGCAGGCACCAGCUCCGCGCCAGGCCUCCAGGCAAGUGCCAGCCCUUCCAGGCACUGGGGUAUCUGACCCUUGUACUGAGGGCCUGGCUGGUUCCUGCGACUCGAUCUCAGGGUCGUGAGUGCAAGCACCACGUUGGGUGUAGAGAUUGCUAAGAAAUAAAUAAAUGUAUGGGUGCCUGGGUGGCUCAGGUGGUUGGAUGUCUGCUUUCAGCUCAGGUCAUG
Long non-coding RNA from Nyctereutes procyonoides (raccoon dog), 3176 nucleotides. RefSeq lists it as uncharacterized. The record is from RefSeq and is a predicted model, not a curated record. The transcript is spliced from 3 exons. NCBI's taxonomy places the organism in Eukaryota, Metazoa, Chordata, Mammalia, Carnivora, Canidae.